CGGUAUAUAGCUCAGCGGUAGAGUGCGUGCUUAGCAUGCGCGGGGUCCUGGGUUUAAUCACCAGUAUCCCUA
RNAcentral lists this transfer RNA (72 nucleotides) under Camelus ferus (Wild Bactrian camel). It matches the Rfam family "tRNA". From Rfam's summary of the family: Transfer RNA (tRNA) molecules are approximately 80 nucleotides in length. Their secondary structure includes four short double-helical elements and three loops (D, anti-codon, and T loops). The record is from Rfam by way of RNAcentral. Lineage: Eukaryota; Metazoa; Chordata; Mammalia; Artiodactyla; Camelidae.